GAUUCUGGCUCAGGAUGAACGCUGGCGGCGUGCUUAAUACAUGCAAGUCGAACGAAGACAUCUCGCCGAAGCUUGCUUCAUUGAGAUAUCUUAGUGGCGGACGGGUGAGUAACGCGUGGGUAACCUGCCUUACACAGGGGGAUAACAGUUAGAAAUGACUGCUAAUACCGCAUAAGCGCACAUUAUCGCAUGAUAGAGUGUGAAAAGAUUUAUCGGUGUAAGAUGGACCCGCGUCUGAUUAGCUAGUUGGUGAGGUAACGGCCCACCAAGGCGACGAUCAGUAGCCGGCCUGAGAGGGUGAACGGCCACAUUGGGACUGAGACACGGCCCAAACUCCUACGGGAGGCAGCAGUAGGGAAUAUUGGACAAUGGGGGAAACCCUGAUCCCAGCGACGCCGCGUGAGUGAAGAAGUAUUUCGGUACGUAAAGCUCUAUCAGCAGGGAAGAAAAUGACGGUACCUGACUAAGAAGCACCGGCUAAAUACGUGCCAGCCGCGGC
RNAcentral lists this ribosomal RNA (499 nucleotides) under uncultured bacterium. Its description in RNAcentral is "bacterial SSU rRNA". It matches the Rfam family "Bacterial small subunit ribosomal RNA", at positions 15 to 518 of the family's 1533-position model. The record is from RNAcentral.